AUUCCUGUUUGUGAUCACCUGUGUCCUGUUAUUUCUGGAUAGUCUUUUGUAUUUAGUCCGAGUCUCAGUCUGCCUUCCCCAGAUCCGUCAUUGUAGUGUCCGUGGAUGUCUCUGCUUGUUCGUCUCUUGCCUAAUAAACCCCUGAUUACCCAACCUAACCAGCGGCCCAUAAAAUACUGGAUUAUGAAAACCAUUUUCCCAGGAUGCACAUGGAUAACUGUGCUGCUGUUAGAUGGAAAAUAUCUUUCAUGUUUAUUCACUUACUGGGAUGGAGAAUAUUUGCCCAUGGACACUAAUUCUGUGCAAAAGUGGUGCAAACCACAUGAUACAAAUAAAACAUCAAAUGAAGAAAAGCUGAAUUUCACUAAAGUAGGAUACAUAUGGUCUCAGAUUGCAGCCUUUGUCUUUUUUCUUGCCAUUUCGCUGGGAGCAUUCUUCUAUAAGAAUGAUGAUGAGAACUCCCAGUCCGAUGCAACAGUGCAAAGAGUUACUCUUACACGCAUGGAGCCAGUGAAAGUGAAAUACCAUCAAGAAGCAUCAACCAAACAACACACCAUUGAACUUAUGCGGGGAGAAAUUGACGAGCCAAGUGGCAACACACUGCUAAUGAGAGAACCUCUACAAGAAGAAACUGAAAUGAUCCAAGGAGAAUGAAGUAACAUUUUUGGUUAAUUCUGACCCAGCUUAUCAUUGCCUGUCCUCUUUGCUUUCCAGUUACUUAGUACUGUGCAUGAACAUGUGUAUUAGGAUGAACUCACGGAUGAUUACGUCGUCCAUGAUUCACCCAUAAUAUUAUUGUGCCAAGGUUGAACUGUAUAAACGUGUUUUUUUACUGAUUACUUGUAUAACUUGUUUGUCAUUAAUAACUUGUUCCUUAUAAAAGGGGCCAGGAUGCUUCCCUAGUCGUAAAAAAUCUUAUCCUGUUUAAAGACCCUCGUCCUGUUAUUUCUGAUUUACAGGAUGCUUAUGCUGUUGAUAAAUUGCUUACUUUGUUUUUAUAAGGGCUUCUUCCUGAAGAGGAGAAUAAGUGGUACCAUAUGUUGUACCUAGGAUUGACAUGUGAGAUGCUUAUCUUGUCCUCAAGGAAGAGGGAGGAUCGGUAUGCGGGACACUUAUCUUGUGUUUAGGAAACACAGGACCUUAUCUUGUUUAGGAGGGUUGGGGAGGCAUUGAGCAAGCAGCAUUACCUGUAUGGAAGUGGGAAUUGGAGAACGCAUUGCCUAAGGGGAGGGGUGAGCCUGGCCAGCUCGUCUCCUGCCAACACGCAGCACCCAAUUCAGUAUAAAGGGAGGGGGGAAAACUCAGUAUUGACUGGAGCUCAGCCGUGGGAUAGAGUGCGCAUCGCCCGGCACUUUCUCGGGACUCACGUG
Molecule: long non-coding RNA, 1370 nt
Organism: Paramormyrops kingsleyae
Lineage: Eukaryota; Metazoa; Chordata; Actinopteri; Osteoglossiformes; Mormyridae
Source: RefSeq, a predicted model, not a curated record